Molecule: long non-coding RNA, 367 nt
Filed under: Homo sapiens (human)
Lineage: Eukaryota; Metazoa; Chordata; Mammalia; Primates; Hominidae
Description: HSALNT0176212
Source: RNAcentral
UCUUGAAGUGCAUCUCAGGCAUCUUAAACUUGGGCCCUUUCAACUUUGCAUCAGGACACUCCAGCUCAACAUCAGGCAUCUUAAACUUGGGCCCUUUCAACUUUGCAUCAGGACACUCCAGCUCAACAUCAGGCACCUCCACACCCACACUGGGACCUGUUAAAUCUCCCUCCAAUUUUGGCACCGACACAUCCACAUCCCCUUUGACUUUGGGGCCUUUCAAGUGUAAGUCCACAUCAGGCAUGGAGAUCUUGGGGGCCUUGAAGUGCAUCUCAGGCAUCUUAAACUUGGGCCCUUUCAACUUUGCAUCAGGACACUCCAGAUCAACAUCGGGCAUGGAGAUCUUGGGGGCCUUGAAAUGCAUCUC